UGCCCCAUGGCUGAGUUGGUUACAGCGUCCGACUGUUAUCUCCUGCGGAGAAGGUCAUCGGAAGGUCGAGAGUUCGAGCCUCUCUGGGGCAG
Molecule: non-coding RNA, 92 nt
Organism: Mucidula mucida
Lineage: Eukaryota; Fungi; Basidiomycota; Agaricomycetes; Agaricales; Physalacriaceae
Source: the annotation of a GenBank genome assembly